UGGGGAAUUUUGCACAAUGGAGGAAACUCUGAUGCAGCGACGCCGCGUGAGUGAUGAAGAUCUUCGGAUUGUAAAACUCUGUCCUUAGUGAAGAUAAUGACAGUAACUAAGAAGCAAGCCCUGGCUAAAUACGUGCCAGCAGCCGCGGUAAUACGUAUGGGGCAAGCGUUGUCCGGAAUUAUUGGGCGUAAAGGGUACGUAGGCGGUUUAAUAAGUCCUAAUUAAAAGGCUAUGGCUCAACCAUAGUAUGGUUAGGAAACUGUUGAACUUGAGUAGAUGAGGGGAAAGUGGAAUUCCAUGUGUAGCGGUGAAAUGCGUAGAUAUAUGGAGGAACACCAAUGGCGAAGGCAACUUUCUGGAAUCAAACUGACGCUGAGGUACGAAGGAGUGGGGAGCAAACAGG
Molecule: ribosomal RNA, 403 nt
Filed under: Fusobacteriota bacterium
Lineage: Bacteria; Fusobacteriati; Fusobacteriota
Description: Fusobacteria bacterium partial 16S ribosomal RNA
Rfam family: Bacterial small subunit ribosomal RNA
Source: RNAcentral